CUGAACCAGCCAAGUAGCGUGAAGGAUGACUGCCCUAUGGGUUGUAAACUUCUUUUAUAAAGGAAUAAAGUCGGGUAUGGAUACCCGUUUGCAUGUACUUUAUGAAUAAGGAUCGGCUAACUCCGUGCCAGCAGCCGCGGUAAUACGGAGGAUCCGAGCGUUAUCCGGAUUUAUUGGGUUUAAAGGGAGCGUAGAUGGAUGUUUAAGUCAGUUGUGAAAGUUUGCGG
RNAcentral lists this ribosomal RNA (227 nucleotides) under uncultured bacterium. RNAcentral describes it as "partial 16S ribosomal RNA". It matches the Rfam family "Bacterial small subunit ribosomal RNA", at positions 383 to 607 of the family's 1533-position model. The record is from RNAcentral. RNAcentral also lists the same sequence under 1 other name.